CCUGUUUUUGAGAAUAAUUUAUAAAAACAUAAAAGAAAAACGGGAUUAAAAUUAAAUACAGUGAAAGUAAUAUAUGAAGGACUAUUAGUUGUGAGUUUAAAUCAGUACCGAACUGAUUUGAGUGUGUUUGUACGGUCAGAAUAAGUGAUUUAGUUUUGUAAAUAACCUAAAACAAACGUUUAAUGCAGAUAUUUUUAAUUAUUCACGAUAUUUUUACAUUGUGCAGUGACGUUAUCACGGUACCCAGUGAUUGUUUGGUUUUCACUCUGAUUAUUAUUGUUUCAGUCUAGGUAUAUUAUUGAGUAGGUAACGUGUAGUUACUGCUUAGCGGAAACGGAUCUGCGCUGAUUACGGAUUGGGAUAGGGCGGCGGCGCGCAGGCGAUGUGGCGCAGCACGUGAUGUUGGAGCCCACUGCGUCCGCGCACGCCGCCAUGAUCAAGCUGCGCCGGGACAGGAUUUGGCGCUGGCGCUGCCAGUGGAGCGUGGUGACGCUGGCGGCCGUGGGGCUGGUGCUGUACAACGGCGCGGCCAAUGUGCUGCUGUUGCGAUCGCCGCGCUGCCGCGAGCGCGCACCAGCGCCCGCGUCUCUCACGCCUGUGCCCGCCACCACCUGCGAGCCCUGCGCCGACACGCCGCCGCCUUCUGCACAGCUCGACGACGAACCGCUUUCACGAUUCGACCUGCGCCUCGGCCGCUGGGACACCUCGCGCAACUACCGCCUCUACGACUACGCCGCCGUCGGUGACUCGUACGCGGACCUCUCCGCCGAGCGGCGCGUCAGCCUCGCCACGCAGUCGUCCGUGGAGCGGUUGCACGAGCUGCUGCGCAUCGCGGCACACUGGUCCGGCCCGAUGUCGGUGGCGGUGUUCGUGACGGGAGACGAGCUGAGGCUGCUGUGCGGGUUCGCGACGUGGCUGCUGCACUGCCAGCCGGAGGUGUACGCGCGGCUGGCGCUGCACGUGGCCACGCCAGCGGAGCGGCAGGGAGUGCACGGCCGGCUGCCGCACUGGGCCAAGGACUGCUCGUCGCAGCCGCUGCCGGCGGGCGAGCGCUCACCGGAGACCAUCCAGUGGCGCUCGCGGCAUCCCUACCCCCAGAACCACAUGCGGAAUCUCGCGAGGAAGAACUGCCACACGCCGUUUGUGUUUCUGGUGGACAUCGACAUAGUGCCUUCGAAAGGCAUGGCGGAGGCUCUGGACGUGUUCCUAGGCCGGACGCCGAAGUGUCCGCUGUGCGCGUACGUGGUGCCCACGUACGAGCUGGACCGGCGCGUGGCCACCUUCCCGGCCAACAAGUCGGAGGUGCUGCGGCUCUCGCGGCACAAGCUCGCCAUACCCUUCCACAGAAAGGUGUUCAUAUACAAUCAGUUCGCUUCCAAUUUUUCAAGAUGGGAGGCCAGCGGCGGCAACGAGAGCGCGGAGACCCACGUGAGCCACAACGUGACCAACUUCGAGCUGCUGUACGAGCCGUUCUAUGUAGCAGCUGACACUGUGCCGGCGCACGACGAGCGCUUCCUCGGCUACGGGUUCACCAGGAACACGCAGGUCGUGACAUUGGGCUCGGGCGUGAGAAAUUUCCGAUUGCGGUCGCGUUGGGUAAUUUUGCAAAAAAUUGGGACGUUCGGUGUCGCGGAGUGGCUGAAAGAUCUCGGCCUGCAGUGACCCGGUGAAUUAAUUGCUGACAACACCACUGCGAUGGCUCGGUGGCCGCACCUGCUUUUAUACCUCUGCCUGAUAUCCGCCGUGGAUCUCCAAGAGGCAGUAGAUGAAGAUGCACAGAAUGAGGUUGAUGAGGAGGUGACAAGGAUGGAGGACUCUCCCCCGACGGAUGAGGAACUACAGGAGUUGGAGCGGACGUGUCCGGAGCUGAGCGGGCAGAUCAUCGG
RNAcentral lists this unclassified non-coding RNA (1886 nucleotides) under Pectinophora gossypiella (pink bollworm). Its description in RNAcentral is "beta-1,4-glucuronyltransferase 1-like". The record is from RNAcentral. Lineage: Eukaryota; Metazoa; Arthropoda; Insecta; Lepidoptera; Gelechiidae.